UAUCUCUGUAGAGUCUGCAUAUCAAUAAGCGGAGGAAAAGAAACUAACAAGGAUUCCCUUAGUAACGGCGAGUGAGGCGGGAAGAGCUCAAAUUUGAAAUCUUCAAGGUUUUACCUUGACGAAUUGUAGUUUAAAGAAGUGUUUUCUGUUGAAGUUUCGGUAAAAGUUCUUUGGAAUAGGACAUCAUAGAGGGUGAGAAUCCCGUAUUUGACCGUUAUUUUCAGCUGUGUGAUACACUUUCAAAGAGUCGGAUUGUUUGGGAAUGCAGUCCAAAAUGGGUGGUAAAUUUCAUCUAAAGCUAAAUAUUGGCGAGAGACCGAUAGCGAACAAGUACCGUGAGGGAAAGAUGAAAAGAACUUUGAAAAGAGAGUUAAACAGUACGUGAAAUUGUCAAAAGGGAAGCGUUUGACACCAGUGUUGUUUUUCUCGAAAAUCAAUUAAGAAUGGCUUGAUUUUGUGUUGUAUUGACCUUAUAAGCUUUCUUCACUUUUUUCGAGUCUUUCUUAAUGCACUUUUCGGUUAACAAGUCAACAUCAAUUUCUUUUGUUGUAAAAGAGUAUUCGGAAGGUGGCUUUCUUUUCGGAGAAAGUGUUUAUAGCCCUAUACUUCUACAAUCGGAGAGAUUGAGGUCUGCAGCGUAGAUCCUUCGGGGUUAGAUACACUUGUGCUAAGUUGUAGCUUUUCAUAGACAACUUGUUGACUAUGUUUAGUCAUGCGGCUUACUCGCUUGUGCUAUUUUACCUACGCUUAGGAUGUUGACUGAUAUGUAGUCGUA
This 775-nucleotide ribosomal RNA is filed under the name uncultured Neocallimastigales. RNAcentral's name for it is "partial large subunit ribosomal RNA". It matches the Rfam family "Eukaryotic large subunit ribosomal RNA", at positions 24 to 644 of the family's 3401-position model. The record is from RNAcentral. Lineage: Eukaryota; Fungi; Neocallimastigomycota; Neocallimastigomycetes; Neocallimastigales.